GACGAACGCUGGCGGCGUGCCUAAUACAUGCAAGUCGAGCGCAGGAAAUCAUCCGAACCCUUCGGGGGGACGUUGAUGGAAUGAGCGGCGGACGGGUGAGUAACACGUAAAGAACCUGCCCUCAGGUCUGGGAUAACCACGAGAAAUCGGGGCUAAUACCGGAUGGGUCAUCGGACCGCAUGGUCCGAGGAUGAAAGGCGCUUCGGCGUCGCCUGGAGAUGGCUUUGCGGUGCGUUAGCUAGUUGGUGGGGUAAUGGCCCACCAAGGCGACGAUGCAUAGCCGACCUGAGAGGGUGAUCGGCCACACUGGGACUGAGACACGGCCCAGACUCCUACGGGAGGCAGCAGUAGGGAAUCUUCCACAAUGGACGAAAGUCUGAUGGAGCAACGCCGCGUGAACGAUGAAGGCCUUCGGGUCGUAAAGUUCUGUUGUAAGGGAAGAACAAGUGCCGCAGGCAAUGGCGGCACCUUGACGGUACCUUGCGAGAAAGCCACGGCUAACUACGUGCCAGCCGCCGCAGUAA
Molecule: ribosomal RNA, 524 nt
Filed under: uncultured bacterium
Lineage: Bacteria
Description: partial 16S ribosomal RNA
Rfam family: Bacterial small subunit ribosomal RNA
Source: RNAcentral